Sturnus vulgaris (Common starling) is the source of this 296-nucleotide non-coding RNA. The record is from RefSeq and is a predicted model, not a curated record. NCBI's taxonomy places the organism in Eukaryota, Metazoa, Chordata, Aves, Passeriformes, Sturnidae.
GUCAUCCCCAUGCUGUGACAGUGACAUGGGGACCCCAAAAUUGUGGCAGCGUCACUGUGGGACCCUCGUGCUGGAUCUGUGUCACCCCCAGGUUGUGACAGUGACAUUGGGACCCCCAAAUGGUGGCAGUGUCAUUGUGGGAGCCCCAAGUUGUGCUUCUGUCACCCCCAGGUUGUGACAGUGACAUGGGGACCCCAAAAUUGCAGUUGUGUCACUGUGGGACCCCCGUGCUGGGCCUGUGUCACCCCAAUGUUGUGACAGUGACAUUGGGACCCCCAAUUUGUGGCAGUGUCAUU